Lycium barbarum (goji berry) is the source of this 731-nucleotide long non-coding RNA. RefSeq lists it as uncharacterized. The transcript has 3 exons. NCBI's taxonomy places the organism in Eukaryota, Viridiplantae, Streptophyta, Magnoliopsida, Solanales, Solanaceae. The record is from RefSeq and is a predicted model, not a curated record.
ACUAGGUGUCUUUAUCUAGUGCAAAGGAUAAAGGGGAUGGACCCCACGUCUAUAAAUAAAUAUUAUGCACCUUUCCUUUUAAGUUAAAACAAUUCUUAAAGUGUAGGACUCAUAUUCCAUCUUCAGAAUGUUCCCUAGCGUGUUCAAAUGGAAAUAAAAAUAGGACCAAGUUUUGGGCAACAACAACGAGAAAGAAAUCACGAUUUGAAAACUAUUCACAUAUCGGUUUCGUAAUUCUAUCACGAUUUCCUCUGGAUCAUAGCAAAAUUGGAGAUUUUUUUUUCUGAAUUGAAGUAAAGUGGAAGAAGAUUAUCUCUGGACAUAUAAGGCUAAAAGAGCGACGAGACGAACGGGUUACGAAUAGUCGCUAACAGGUACAGACGCACAGUUUGGUGAUCCACCAGUUUAGGACACCCUCUUCUGCUAUUUGGAGUGCUCCUCUUAUUCCGGAGCCUACAUUUUGGUAUAUAUACUUGUUUGAUGCAUAUGUAUAUAUUUGUUCAGGGGUACGGCGGGGCCCUGUUUUGCCAUAUGAUCCGUUUGGUCUGUUUAGAGGUCUGUAGACGUAUUUGUGGGUGUGUGUGUCUACUUCUGUAUGGGUGUGUUUGGUAUGAUCCCAUUCGUUAUGGCAGCCUUGUCGGCGUGCAUUCGUAUAUGUGUUUUGGGCCGUUGUGCCAUUUGAUAGCCUUGUCGGCUUUUGAUAUAUGUAUAUGUGUAUGUUUGCGCUGAAA